UGCAGUCGAGCGGAACGAGUUAUCUGAACCUUCGGGGAACGAUAACGGCGUCGAGCGGCGGACGGGUGAGUAAUGCCUAGGAAAUUGCCCUGAUGUGGGGGAUAACCAUUGGAAACGAUGGCUAAUACCGCAUAAUGCCUACGGGCCAAAGAGGGGGACCUUCGGGCCUCUCGCGUCAGGAUAUGCCUAGGUGGGAUUAGCUAGUUGGUGAGGUAAUGGCUCACCAAGGCGACGAUCCCUAGCUGGUCUGAGAGGAUGAUCAGCCACACUGGAACUGAGACACGGUCCAGACUCCUACGGGAGGCAGCAGUGGGGAAUAUUGCACAAUGGGCGCAAGCCUGAUGCAGCCAUGCCGCGUGUGUGAAGAAGGCCUUCGGGUUGUAAAGCACUUUCAGUCGUGAGGAAGGUAGUGUAGUUAAUAGCUGCAUUAUUUGACGUUAGCGACAGAAGAAGCACCGGCUAACUCCGUGCCAGCAGCCGCGGUAAUACGGAGGGUGCGAGCGUUAAUCGGAAUUACUGGGCGUAAAGCGCAUGCAGGUGGUUUGUUAAGUCAGAUGUGAAAGCCCGGGGCUCAACCUCGGAAUAGCAUUUGAAACUGGCAGACUAGAGUACUGUAGAGGGGGGUAGAAUUUCAGGUGUAGCGGUGAAAUGCGUAGAGAUCUGAAGGAAUACCGGUGGCGAAGGCGGCCCCCCUGGACAGAUACUGACACUCAGAUGCGAAAGCGUGGGGGAGCAAACAGGAUUAGAUACCCUGGUAGUCCACGCCCGUAAACGAUGUCUACUUGGAGGUUGUGGCCUUGAGCCGUGGCUUUCGGAGCUAACGCGUUAAGUAGACCGCCUGGGGG
Molecule: ribosomal RNA, 845 nt
Filed under: Vibrio campbellii
Lineage: Bacteria; Pseudomonadati; Pseudomonadota; Gammaproteobacteria; Vibrionales; Vibrionaceae
Description: bacterial SSU rRNA
Rfam family: Bacterial small subunit ribosomal RNA
Source: RNAcentral